CAUGGGCGCAGCCUGAUGCAGCGACGCCGCGUGCGGGAUGACGGCCUUCGGGUUGUAAACCGCUUUUGACUGGGAGCAAGCCCUUCGGGGUGAGUGUACCUUUCGAAUAAGCACCGGCUAACUACGUGCCAGCAGCCGCGGUAAUACGUAGGGUGCAAGCGUUAUCCGGAAUUAUUGGGCGUAAAGGGCUCGUAGGCGGUUCGUCGCGUCCGGUGUGAAAGUCCAUCGCUUAACGGUGGAUCCGCGCCGGGUACGGGCGGGCUUGAGUGCGGUAGGGGAGACUGGAAUUCCCGGUGUAACGGUGGAAUGUGUAGAUAUCGGGAAGAACACCAAUGGCGAAGGCAGGUCUCUGGGCCGUCACUGACGCUGAGGAGCGAAAGCGUGGGGAGCGAACAGGAUUAGAUACCCUGGUAGUCCAAGGGCGAAUUC
Molecule: ribosomal RNA, 429 nt
Filed under: uncultured bacterium
Lineage: Bacteria
Description: SSU rRNA
Rfam family: Bacterial small subunit ribosomal RNA
Source: RNAcentral